This 581-nucleotide ribosomal RNA is filed under the name Vibrio sp. PASCS12. RNAcentral describes it as "bacterial SSU rRNA". It matches the Rfam family "Bacterial small subunit ribosomal RNA", at positions 116 to 693 of the family's 1533-position model. The record is from RNAcentral. Lineage: Bacteria; Pseudomonadati; Pseudomonadota; Gammaproteobacteria; Vibrionales; Vibrionaceae.
CCUAGGAAAUUGCCCUGAUGUGGGGGAUAACCAUUGGAAACGAUGGCUAAUACCGCAUGAUGCCUACGGGCCAAAGAGGGGGACCUUCGGGCCUCUCGCGUCAGGAUAUGCCUAGGUGGGAUUAGCUAGUUGGUGAGGUAAGGGCUCACCAAGGCGACGAUCCCUAGCUGGUCUGAGAGGAUGAUCAGCCACACUGGAACUGAGACACGGUCCAGACUCCUACGGGAGGCAGCAGUGGGGAAUAUUGCACAAUGGGCGCAAGCCUGAUGCAGCCAUGCCGCGUGUAUGAAGAAGGCCUUCGGGUUGUAAAGUACUUUCAGUCGUGAGGAAGGCGGUGUCGUUAAUAGCGGCGUCGUUUGACGUUAGCGACAGAAGAAGCACCGGCUAACUCCGUGCCAGCAGCCGCGGUAAUACGGAGGGUGCGAGCGUUAAUCGGAAUUACUGGGCGUAAAGCGCAUGCAGGUGGUUUGUUAAGUCAGAUGUGAAAGCCCGGGGCUCAACCUCGGAAUAGCAUUUGAAACUGGCAGACUAGAGUACUGUAGAGGGGGGUAGAAUUUCAGGUGUAGCGGUGAAAUGCGUAG